This 253-nucleotide ribosomal RNA is filed under the name uncultured bacterium. RNAcentral's name for it is "partial 16S ribosomal RNA". It matches the Rfam family "Bacterial small subunit ribosomal RNA", at positions 524 to 776 of the family's 1533-position model. The record is from RNAcentral.
UACGUAGGGUGCAAGCGUUGUUCGGAAUUAUUGGGCGUAAAGAGCUCGUAGGCGGUUUGUCGCGUCUGCUGUGAAAACCCGAGGCUCAACCUCGGGCCUGCAGUGGGUACGGGCAGACUAGAGUGCGGUAGGGGAGAUUGGAAUUCCUGGUGUAGCGGUGGAAUGCGCAGAUAUCAGGAGGAACACCAAUGGCGAAGGCAGAUCUCUGGGCCGUAACUGACGCUGAGGAGCGAAAGCAUGGGGAGCGAACAGG